AACGAACGCUGGCGGCAGGCCUAAUACAUGCAAGUCGAACGAUCCUUCGGGAUAGUGGCGCACGGGUGAGUAACACGUGGGAACAUACCCUUGGGUGCGGAACAACGUCGGGAAACUGACGCUAAUACCGCAUAAUGACUCCGGUCCAAAGAUUUAUCGCCCAAGGAUUGGCCCGCGCUAGAUUAGGUUGUUGGUGAGGUAACGGCUCACCAAGCCUACGAUCUAUAGCUGGUCUGAGAGGAUGAUCAGCCACACUGGGACUGAGACACGGCCCAGACUCCUACGGGAGGCAGCAGUAAGGAAUAUUGGACAAUGGGGGCAACCCUGAUCCAGCCAUGCCGCGUGAGUGAAGAAGGCCUUAGGGUUGUAAAGCUCUUUCAGGUGCGAAGAUAAUGACUGUAACACCAGAAGAAGCCCCGGCUAAAUUCGUGCCAGCAGCCGCGGUAAAGUAGACGU
Molecule: ribosomal RNA, 456 nt
Filed under: uncultured bacterium
Lineage: Bacteria
Description: bacterial SSU rRNA
Rfam family: Bacterial small subunit ribosomal RNA
Source: RNAcentral